This 526-nucleotide ribosomal RNA is filed under the name uncultured bacterium. RNAcentral describes it as "partial 16S ribosomal RNA". It matches the Rfam family "Bacterial small subunit ribosomal RNA", at positions 28 to 523 of the family's 1533-position model. The record is from RNAcentral.
GACGAACGCUGGCGGCGUGCCUAAUACAUGCAAGUCGAGCGAAGCUGUUUUAACUGGUGCUUGCACCGACUUAAACAACUGAGUGGCGAACGGGUGAGUAACACGUGGGUAACCUGCCCAGAAGCGGGGGAUAACAUUUGGAAACAGAUGCUAAUACCGCAUAAAAGUCAAAACCACAUGGUUUUGAUUUGAAAGAUGGCCUUUGUGCUAUCACUUCUGGAUGGACCCGCGGCGUAUUAGCUAGUUGGUAAGGUAACGGCUUACCAAGGCAAUGAUACGUAGCCGAACUGAGAGGUUGAUCGGCCACAAUGGGACUGAGACACGGCCCAUACUCCUACGGGAGGCAGCAGUAGGGAAUCUUCCACAAUGGGCGCAAGCCUGAUGGAGCAACACCGCGUGAGUGAAGAAGGGUUUCGGCUCGUAAAACUCUGUUGUUAAAGAAGAACGUAUCUAAGAGUAACUGCUUAGGUAGUGACGGUAUUUAACCAGAAAGCCACGGCUAACUACGUGCCAGCCGCCGCGGUAA